Molecule: small nuclear RNA, 22 nt
Filed under: Arabidopsis thaliana (thale cress)
Lineage: Eukaryota; Viridiplantae; Streptophyta; Magnoliopsida; Brassicales; Brassicaceae
Description: snRNA_04550
Source: RNAcentral
AUAUUAUUGUGUCACUAUAGUU